This 253-nucleotide ribosomal RNA is filed under the name uncultured bacterium. RNAcentral describes it as "partial 16S ribosomal RNA". It matches the Rfam family "Bacterial small subunit ribosomal RNA", at positions 524 to 776 of the family's 1533-position model. The record is from RNAcentral.
GACGUAGGGCGCGAGCGUUGUCCGGAUUUAUUGGGCGUAAAGAGCUCGUAGGCGGCUCGUUGCGUCAACCGUGAAAACCCGGGGCUUAACUUCGGGCUUGCGGUUGAUACGGGCGGGCUGGAGUUCGGUAGGGGAGACUGGAAUUCCUGGUGUAGCGGUGAAAUGCGCAGAUAUCAGGAGGAACACCGGUGGCGAAGGCGGGUUUCUGGGCCGAUACUGACGCUGAGGAGCGAAAGCGUGGGGAGCGAACAGG